UGGGGAAUAUUGCACAAUGGGGGAAACCCUGAUGCAGCGACGCCGCGUGAGCGAAGAAGGCUUUCGAAUCGUAAAGCUCUGUCCUAUGAGAAGAUAAUGACGGUAUCAUAGGAGGAAGCCCCGGCUAAAUACGUGCCAGCAGCCGCGGUAAUACGUAUGGGGCGAGCGUUGUCCGGAAUUAUUGGGCGUAAAGGGUACGUAGGCGGUCUAUUAAGUCAGGUGUGAAAGCGUGAGGCUUAACCUCAUUAAGCACUUGAAACUGAUAGACUUGAGUGAAGGAGAGGAAAGCGGAAUUCCUAGUGUAGCGGUGAAAUGCGUAGAUAUUAGGAGGAAUACCGGUGGCGAAGGCGACUUUCUGGACUUUUACUGACGCUCAGGUACGAAAGCGUGGGGAGCAAACAGG
This 403-nucleotide ribosomal RNA is filed under the name Verrucomicrobiota bacterium. RNAcentral's name for it is "Verrucomicrobia bacterium partial 16S ribosomal RNA". It matches the Rfam family "Bacterial small subunit ribosomal RNA", at positions 355 to 776 of the family's 1533-position model. The record is from RNAcentral. Lineage: Bacteria; Pseudomonadati; Verrucomicrobiota.